Molecule: ribosomal RNA, 119 nt
Filed under: Sphingomonas sp.
Lineage: Bacteria; Pseudomonadati; Pseudomonadota; Alphaproteobacteria; Sphingomonadales; Sphingomonadaceae
Source: RNAcentral
UGCUACGGUCAUACCACUCUGAAUAUACCCGAUCCCGUCCGAUCUCGGAAGUCAAGCAGGGUUGGGCCAGAUUAGUACUACGCUGAGGAAUCGCGCGGGAACCCCUGGUGCCGUGGCGU